This 2074-nucleotide ribosomal RNA is filed under the name Boopia cf. uncinata B560. RNAcentral's name for it is "SSU rRNA". It matches the Rfam family "Eukaryotic small subunit ribosomal RNA". Lineage: Eukaryota; Metazoa; Arthropoda; Insecta; Psocodea; Boopidae. The record is from RNAcentral.
AGUGUCAGUUCAUGCCAAAUUAAGGUGAAACCGCGAAAGGCUCAUUAAAUCAGUUAUAGUUUACUUGAUGGCAUGACGUUAUCGUUACUUGGAUAACUGUGGCAAUUCUAGAGCUAAUACAUGCACUCGAGUCCCGACCGUUCGCAGCGGAAGGGAUGCUUUUAUUAGAUCAAAACCAAUCGGGAAAUCGCCGAGCUUCGCGCCCGGUCGACGUACCGUCAAGUCUUGGUGACUCUGGAUAAAUUGUCGCUGAUCGCAAGGUCCAAGCACCUGCGACGCAUCUUUCAAAUGUCUGACUUAUCAACUAUCGACGGUAUGCCACGUGCCUACCGUGGUGGUAACGGGUAACGGGGAAUCAGGGUUCGAUUCCGGAGAGGGAGCCUGAGAAACAGCUACCACAUCCAAGGAAGGCAGCAGGCGCGCAAAUUACCCACUCCCGGCACGGGGAGGUAGUGACGAAAAAUAACGAUGCAGAACUCUUUUACGAGGCUCUGCAAUCGGAAUGAGAAGACCCUAAAUCAUUUACCGAGUAUCCAUUGGAGGGCAAGUCUGGUGCCAGCAGCCGCGGUAAUUCCAGCUCCAAUAGCGUAUAUUAAAGUUGUUGCGGUUAAAAAGCUCGUAGUUGGACCUGUGUUUUCGCGCUGUCGGUUCACCGCCCGUCGGUGCAUAACUGGCAGUCCGCGGAACGUCCUGCCGGUUGGCGUAUCCUCGGUCGCGGACGCGCUUCGCUCGCCGUUCCGCGUCUUGCUUCCCCCGUCAAUUCAAACGUUUCGCGCGGAUCGUCGUCGCGCUUCGCGCGCGGCGAUCGAUUCCGCGCGUCUCGGACGCGCGGGAAAGCGGCGGCGGCGGCCGCGAAGCGGCGGAUCCCGCGGCUAACGGGGGCCAAAAAUUCGCCCGGCCCGAAAACCGGCGCGAAUCCCCGUCGCGAUGCUCUUUGCCGAGUGUCGAGGCGGGCCGGCACGUUUACUUUGAACAAAUUUGAGUGCUCAAAGCAGGCACGUGAAACGGCUUGAAAAUUGUGCGCAUGGAAUAAUGGAAUAGGACCGCGGUUCUAUUUUGUUGGUUUACGGAAUUUCUGCGGUAAUGAUUAAUAGGGUCGGACGGGGGCAUUGGUAUUGCGACGUUAGAGGUGAAAUUCUUGGAUCGUCGCAGGACUAACGAAAGCGAAAGCAUUUGCCAAGAACGCUUUCAUUGAUCAAGAACGAAAGUUAGAGGUUCGAAGGCGAUCAGAUACCGCCCUAGUUCUGACCGUAAACGAUGCCAGCUGGCGAUCCGUCGUUGUUUCUAUGGAUGACUCGACGGGCAGCCUCCGGGAAACCAAAGCGUUUGGGUUCCGGGGGUAGUAUGGUUGCAAAGCUGAAACUUAAAGGAAUUGACGGAAGGGCACCACCAGGAGUGGAGCUUGCGGCUUAAUUUGACUCAACACGGGAAAACUCACCAGGCCCAGACACUGAGAGGAUUGACGGAUUGACAGCUCUUUCUUGAUUCAGUGGGUGGUGGUGCAUGGCCGUUCUUAGUUGGUGGAGCGAUUUGUCUGGUUUAUUCCGAUAACGAACGAGACUCUAGCCUGCUAAAUAGGCGUAAAAAUUCGAUUCGUCAGAAUCGAAGUCCGAUAUCUAGCCUAUCGGCGAUUGGAAUUAACUCUUCUUAGAGGGACAAGCGGCAUCUAGCCGCGCGAGAUUGAGCAAUAACAGGUCUGUGAUGCCCUUAGAUGUUCUGGGCCGCACGCGUGCUACACUGAAGGAAUCAACGUGUUCGAAAACCCUUGGCCGAAAGGUCCGGGCAACCCGUUGAACCUCCUUCGUGCUAGGGAUUGGGGAUUGCAAUUGUUUCCCAUGAACGAGGAAUUCCCAGUAAGCGCGAGUCAUAAGCUCGCGUUGAUUACGUCCCUGCCCUUUGUACACACCGCCCGUCGCUACUACCGAUUGAACGAUUUAGUGAGGUCUUCGGACCUGCACGCGGGCGUCCUCGGAUCGCUCCGGUUUCGCGCCGGAACUGGUUCGGGAUUGCCCGCAGUUGCGAGGAAGACGAUCGAACUUGAUCGUUUAGAGGAAGUAAAAGUCGUAACAAGGUU